UAAAGGCAGGCUGGGGUGGAUUCUGGGAUCGAGGGUAUCUUGAGCCGCCUGGAGAAAGAGAGAAGUCUGCAAUUUGGUGUUGGCUCUAGAACAAAAGAAAGUACCUCUUCUGACACGAGGAAUGAGGAAGAAGAUGACUGUCAACCGAAAGUCCAAGCAGAAGCGGUUACGGGCCUUGAAAAAGCAGCAGGUCUACAUAUUUGAGAGCCAGUGAGGAGUUUCUAGCUGAUUCUCAGGACGUGCAUAUUCAUAACAGAUAUUUUUCAGACUCUGAUGGCUUUGAAAGCUCAUUUAAGUCAGCAAUGUGGAGAAAAUGGAGCACUCAAAGGGCAGGGUUUUCAAAUGCUAAAUUUGAAGCUGCUGACGUUGUUCCCAUGGACGAUGUGAUGUUCACAAAAGCAAAGGAUACAAAUGAUACAAGUUCUGUAACAAAAGAACCAGUUUCUGGUGAUAAAAAGAAUGUACCCAAUGAUAUACGAUCCUGCCUUCAGAACCUGGAUGCAGAGCUUUCUUCUGUAGUUUACUUUAUUGAGGUCAAGAAUGGAUGCACUUGUUUUGCAUAAGGUGGGUGUUCUAAUUCAUUCU
This is a long non-coding RNA of Telopea speciosissima, 585 nucleotides long. RefSeq lists it as uncharacterized. The transcript has 3 exons. The record is from RefSeq and is a predicted model, not a curated record. NCBI's taxonomy places the organism in Eukaryota, Viridiplantae, Streptophyta, Magnoliopsida, Proteales, Proteaceae.